CUUCUGCUGGGCGUCAUCCUUCCCCGUGGGAGCUGGGAUGGUUUCUGAGUAACAAAACGCAGCCUGGGAGUUUUUGUUGGUGUACCUCUGGUCCUCCGGAAUAUAGGUUGCUCUUUGCAAGAAGGAAACGUGGGACAUGAUGUGCAUCCCUGUGCAGGACUGGCAGGUGGGAAAGCAGAGCCCACGUGUUGGCACAACACCUACUGGUCUUAGAGAUUGCUCUCACUGAAGGGUUGAGGUGAGCACAGAACACAUGGACAGGAGGAGGUGACUCCUUGCAGGAGGAGGCAGAGAGCUGUGGGGAGGACAGGCUGGUCGGUCAUCACCUCUCCUACCCUAUUAAGACCCUUUCUCCUCCUCAGGAGGCACCGAUAGCUGAAAAGUCUCUGCUUGCAGGAAUUUAUGCAGGGUGGGAAGCCGUGGCACGGUCCUGGAGGCAUCAAGCUAAUGAGGAGAUGGCCAACACUUACGAACUCUUUAUAUGUCUCGGCAGCCAGGAGGUGGAGGUGCUGAGCCCUCAGCACAGCGUUGGCAAACAGGUUGGAGAGGGGCAUGGCAGGGAAGGUGGCAGCAGCUUCCUGCGGCAGUCCCAGCGUGACCACAGCGAUGAGGAGAGGAGAAAACCACGAGCCUACAGCAGAGCGGAGAGGAGAGGGGUUACCCGUCCUUUGGUGGCACCUGGGGCUCAGGGUUGUGUCCACCUGUUUCACCUUCCUGAGCAGAGCACGGUACGCUCUUUGGCGCGUGAGCCAACAGGGUGGAGAGCAGUGGGUGAGGACUGGGAACAGCUCAGCUGAGCCUAUUUGCACCGUGCUGCUGGCAUGGCACUGUCUGCCUUCACUGGGGUGAGAAGUGGCUGCAUUACCUGCGCUGUGGCUCUCUGGGACACACCUGUAGGAUCUGGAGGUCACUGUCAAGCCUGAAGGUUAUUAACCCUCGACAUCCAGCUCACAUGAGUGUCCGCUUACAAAAGUUAAUCUCAGUAGGGUUUAACUUCAGUGGAGGAAUGCCCUGGAGCCUGCAGGACUUGGACAAGUGCAAGGGGUUGAAAUUAGGUGAUCUUUGAAGUGCUUUUCAACCCAGGCCAUUCUAUGAGUCUGAUUAGACAUCAUCCUGAUCUCCGUUUUAAAGCCUUGGAACUGAGUUUUAAUAUCCCUG
RNAcentral lists this long non-coding RNA (1158 nucleotides) under Gallus gallus (chicken). RNAcentral describes it as "long non-coding RNA NONGGAT005502". The record is from RNAcentral. Lineage: Eukaryota; Metazoa; Chordata; Aves; Galliformes; Phasianidae.